RNAcentral lists this ribosomal RNA (253 nucleotides) under uncultured bacterium. Its description in RNAcentral is "partial 16S ribosomal RNA". It matches the Rfam family "Bacterial small subunit ribosomal RNA", at positions 524 to 776 of the family's 1533-position model. The record is from RNAcentral.
UACGGGGGGGGCUAGCGUUGUUCGGAAUUACUGGGCGUAAAGGGCGCGUAGGCGGUCUGCUAAGUUGGAUGUGAAAACUCUGGGCUUAACCCAGAGCCUGCAUUCAAUACUGACAGGCUAGAGUUCUGGAGGGGAUAGCGGAAUUCCUGGUGUAGCGGUGAAAUGCGUAGAUAUCAGGAGGAACACCGGUGGCGAAGGCGGAUCUCUGGGCCGAUACUGACGCUGAGGAGCGAAAGCGUGGGGAGCGAACAGG